CAGAAUUUAACCUAUAAUAAAAAUUAUCACUAUAACAUAAAGUAAACUUAAUAACUGAUUUUAACUUAUAGCUUGUAUAAUUAAAAUAAAAUUAAGAAAAAAAAUAUCUGAACUAGUCAAAUUAUUUUUUUAAUUAAAUUUAAUGAAGGAAUAUUGGCUAAUAGAAUAUUUUUUAAUAAUUUAAAUUAUUAUAACUAAUAAUGAAAUAUUUAUUAUUGUAAGAAAUAAAUGCUUGAUGAAUAUGGAUAGAUAUGAUUAAUUAUAUUUCUAUAUAAAUAUAAAUAUAAUUUUACAUAGUAAUUACGAUUACAACUAAGAAGGUGAAUUUAUAAUGAGACCUGUAUUUUAUAGGUUAGAUUUUAUUAUUUAAGUACGAUGAGAGUAAACUUGUCGGAAUAUAGGGGAACCAUCCUCUAAGGCUAAGUAUUAUAAAUUUAGCGAUAGUGAAAAGUACCGUGAGGGAAAAGUUGAAAAGAGUGUUGAACUAAUAUUUCUUGUAAAAAUAGAAAUAAAGAUACAAAUAAUAUUAGUUCUUAUCGAACAUUGUUCGAACGAAUGUAAAUAACACGCAGUGAAAUAGAUCAUGAAUUAGUAACUCUAUAAGCAGUCAAAGUCACAAAAUUAAAUUUGGAACGUGACAAUGGCGUACCUUUUGCAUAAUGGGUCAGCAAGUUAAUAGAAGUAGCAAGGUUAAAAGCCUAAGCGAAAGCGACUAUAUGAAAUAAUUAAAUAUGGGUUAAGUUACUGCUAUUAGACCCGAAGCCAGGUGAUCUUUCCAAGAACAGAUUAAUAAAGGAUCGAACGGGUGAAUGUUGCAUUAUUCUCCGAAGAUUUUUGGAAAGCGGUGAAAUGCCAAUCUGACCUGGUGAUAGCUGGUUUUCUACGAAACAUAUUUUAGUAUGAGAUCUACACAAUAUUUAUGGAGGUACAGCACGGUAAUUCCAUACAAAUAUUAAUUAAUUUUAAUAGGAGUUUAAUUUGCGGGGACUUAAAAAUCUUACCAAUGGAAAUAAAUCUCGGAAUUACAUAAAUAGAUGGUAGAUAUUCAGACUAUUCAUGAUAAGUUGGAUAGUCAAGACGGAAACAGCCGUGAACACUGAUUAAGGUCCCGAAUGAUUAUUAAGUGAAAUAAAGGAAGUGACAAAUUGAAUGCAGUUGAAAAGUGAGCCUGGUAGUCGCUACUUAUAAUGAACGUGUAUCAACGUAUCAGCCCUUAGAUUGUUGCUCCGAAGAUUUAACGGGUCUAAAAUAAUCAACCGAUAUCGUGUUAAUUUUAAAUAUAGAACAAUAAUCUUCUAUAUUUAAAAUCUAGGUAGUAGAACAUUCAGAUAAUUAAAGAAACUAUUCCUCUAGGAAAGGAAUACAAACCUAAAAUUGACAGUGUUACAUUGUUUAUAAAAUAGGAAUCUGAAGAGAUAAUGCUGACAUGAGUAACGUAAAAAGAAAGUUUAAACUUUCUCGCCGAAUACGAAAGGGUUAUUAGCUAAAGAUUAAAUCUACUAAUGUUAAUGCGGUCUCUAAGGUACAAAACCAACGUUUUGUCUGAUGAGUAUAGCUUUGAAAGUCCACAUGGAGAAUAAAAUUUUACACAUAGAAUUUCUUUAUAAUUACUUAUAAAGAUAGAAGAUUAAUUUUAAUAAAUUUUAAGACAAUUUAUUAGAUUUAAUAUUGAAUUGUUCAUGUAUUGUAUUAAGUGAAUAUUUAGUAUAAUUAUGUUAUUUAUUAUUUAAAUAUCAUAGUAAAUUUUUAUAUUAAUUGGGCCAGGAAAAAGAUGUUUUGAAUAACUUCGAUCCUAUAUUUUAACUUAGUCUUAUAAUUUUAUAAAUUUUAGAGUGAAUAUUCUAAAAUCUUUAUAUCAAAAAAAAAUAUAAAUUAUCUUUAAAUAAUCUCAAAUUAGUCAUUUGAUUAUUAUUUAAUCUUUUAAGAUUGUAUAUGUAUAAGCAAAAAAAUCCUAAAUUAGUAGAAGUUAAAUUAUUUUAUAUAAUUUAGUGAGAGCUGAUUAAUAAGUAAUAUAAUGAUUUAGGCAAGUUUUAUUUAAGUAUAGUUUCUAAGCACAACCGUACCCUAAACCGACACAGGUUCGUAGGUAGAGAAUACUAAGGCGUAGAGCUAAAAGUUGUUAAGGAACUCGGCAAAUUAUCCUCAUAAGUUCGACAAGAAGAGGAACCAUGAAUUUAGUAAGUUAUUAACUCCUAUUAAUUUAUUUAUAUGGUGGCACAAAAUCGGAAGCCCCGACUGUUUACUAAAAACACAACUAUCUGCAAUUAUGAAAAUAAUAGUAUAGGUAGUGAGAUUUGCCCAAUGCCAGAUUAAUAAGUAAUAAUAAUGGGUAACUGUUUCUUUACAAAAAAUUGGUUAAUAGCGGUCUUAACUAUGAGGAUCCUAAGGUAGCAAAAUAAAUUGGCCAUUAAAUGUGGUCCAGUAUCAAUAAUUUAACGAUGGCUUCACUGUCUCUACAACUUGCUCAGUGAAAUUGAAUUACCCGUGCAGAUGCGGGUUACCUCAAAGAGGACGGGAAGACCCCAUGCAGCUUUACUGUAGCUAGUUAUCAUAUAAAAAGUUCUAUAACCUCGGUUAUACAGAUAAUAGGGAGUCGAUUAGACAACUAUGGAAAACCUUAGGUCUGAGGUGGAACUGGUAUUUAUCUUCUUAUUUAUAAGAUUUAAGAGGAAAUAGCUGACUAGUUGGCAGUUUGACUGGGGCGGUCGUCUUUAAUAGAGUAGCAAAGUACAUCCAAAUAGAUUAAAAUAUUAGAUAAUAUUUACUAUUUAAUUAAAUAAUAAAUAUUCUGACAAAUAACUUUAUAUUGUGAAUUAUUAUUUAAUAAUAAUUACUUUAAAUCAAUUAUUAUAUUUCAUUAAUAAGGUAUGCUAGACAUUAAAUGGAGGUUAAUGAUCCAUGAAAGGUUCUGUAGGGUGCAAUGACGUAAGCAUGCUUAACUGAAAGACUUAAUAGUCGAACAGAUACGUAAGUAGGGCAUAGUGACCCUUUGCUAUAUUAUGGAAUAGACAGGGAUCAAUUGAUAAAAGUUACGCUGGGGAUAACAGCCUAAUAGCCAGCGAGAGUACACAUUGUCCUGGCUGUUUGGGACCUCGAUGUCGACUUAAUUUAUCCUCCAGGGGCAAAACCUUGGAAGGGUUCGGCUGUUCGCCGAUUAAAAAAUUACAUGAGUUGGGUUUAAUACGACGUGAGUCAGUAUGGUCCCUAUCCUUUUGAGGGAUAAAUAGUAAAAAGGGGGAGACCUUCUAGUACGAAAGGACCAAUAGGCUGUGUUUCUCUAGUGUACCAAUUGUAAUAUUAAAUAAUAUUUAAAAUAAGUUAUAAAUUAACUUAAUAAAAAUAUAAAACUUUGCAUAGUUGGGUAGCCACAAACAUAUUAGAUAAUUACUGAAAGUAUAUCAAGUUCGAAUCUAUCCCCUAGAUACUAUCAAUGGAUUUCUCUUUGUAAACUAUCACGAGUGGUUAUUAUUACUUUCCUAAUUAUAAUCAUUUCUUGUAAUCGGUAUAAAAUAGAUAUACUACAAAUUUAUAC
This 3532-nucleotide ribosomal RNA is filed under the name Hemileccinum impolitum. Its description in RNAcentral is "Xerocomus impolitus large subunit ribosomal RNA". It matches the Rfam family "Bacterial large subunit ribosomal RNA". The record is from RNAcentral. Lineage: Eukaryota; Fungi; Basidiomycota; Agaricomycetes; Boletales; Boletaceae.